GCUGGGUGUGGUGGCCCACACCUAUAAUCCCAGCAGCUUGGGAGGCUGAGACAGGAGGAUUGCCCAAAGCCAGCCUCAAGCAAAAGUGAAUCACUAAGCAACUCAGUGAGACCCUGUCUCCA
Molecule: small RNA, 122 nt
Filed under: Marmota monax (woodchuck)
Lineage: Eukaryota; Metazoa; Chordata; Mammalia; Rodentia; Sciuridae
Source: RNAcentral